This 1300-nucleotide ribosomal RNA is filed under the name uncultured bacterium. Its description in RNAcentral is "bacterial SSU rRNA". It matches the Rfam family "Bacterial small subunit ribosomal RNA", at positions 94 to 1380 of the family's 1533-position model. The record is from RNAcentral.
AGUGGCGAACGGGUGAGUAACACGUAGGAAUCUACCCUUAAGACGGGGACAACCCAGGGAAACUUGGGCUAAUACCGGAUGAGAGUGCGAGAGAUUGCAUUUAAAAGGAUGGCGAAAGUUGUCGCUUAGGGAUGAGCCUGCGGUCUAUUAGUUAGUUGGUGAGGUAAGAGCUCACCAAGGCGAUGAUAGAUAGGCGGCCUUAACGGGUGGUCGCCCACACUGGGACUGAGAUACGGCCCAGACUCCUACGGGAGGCAGCAGUCGAGAAUAGUCUACAAUGGCCGGAAGGCUGAUAGUGCGACGCCGCGUGAACGAGGGAGCCCUUCGGGGUGUAAAGUUCUUUUCUAUACGAGCAGUGCUAUAUAUAUGGAUAGUAUAUAUAGAGGGAUAGUAGUAUAGGAAUAAGCAACGGCUAACUCCGUGCCAGCAGCCGCGGUAACACGGGGGUUGCGAGCGUUGUCCGGAAUUACUAGGCGUAAAGGGCAGGUAGGCGGAUCUACGAGUUUUUUGUUAAAGGCUACGGCUCAACUGUAGUAGAGCAGGAGAUACUGUAGGUCUGGAAUGCGGUAGGGGAAGACAGAAUUCCUGGUGUAGCGGUGGAAUGCGCAGAGAUCAGGAGGAAUACCGAAGGCGAAGGCAGUCUUCUAGGCCGUAAUUGACGCUUAACUGCGAAGGUGUGGGAUCAAACAGGAUUAGAUACCCUGGUAGUCCACACAGUAAACGAUAAUCACUAGAUGUCGGGUUCUAGAUGGAUUCGGUGUCGGAGCUAACGCGAUAAGUGAUUCGCCUGGGGAGUACGAUCGCAAGGUUGAAACUCAAAGGAAUUGACGGGGGCCCGCACAAGCGGUGGAGCAUGUGGUUUAAUUCGAGGCAACGCGAAGAACCUUACCCGGUUUUGACAUCCACGGGAGGCUUCAGAGAUGGAGCUGUGCCGGCGUAAGCUGGAGCCGUGAGACAGGUGCUGCAUGGCUGUCGUCAGCUCGUGUCAUGAGAUGUUGGGUUAAGUCCCGCAACGAGCGCAACCCUUGCCUUCAGUUACCAUCAUUAAGUUGGGGACUCUGGAGGGACCGCUGCGGUAACAACGCAGAGGAAGACGGGGACGACGUCAAGUCAUCAUGGUCCUUAUGGCCGGGGCUACACACGUGCUACAAUGGCAGUUACAGAGGGAUGCGAUUCAGUAAUGAGGAGCGAAACUCAGAAAGCUGUCGCAGUUCGGAUUGAGGUCUGCAACUCGGCCUCAUGAAGUUGGAAUCGCUAGUAAUCGCGCAACAUCAUGGCGCGGUGAAUACGUUCCCGGGCC